RNAcentral lists this ribosomal RNA (507 nucleotides) under uncultured bacterium. RNAcentral's name for it is "bacterial SSU rRNA". It matches the Rfam family "Bacterial small subunit ribosomal RNA", at positions 30 to 530 of the family's 1533-position model. The record is from RNAcentral.
AUUGAACGCUGGCGGCAUGCUUUACACAUGCAAGUCGAACGGGCUUGGGGGCUUGCUCCCAAGUUAGUGGCGAACGGGUGAGUAAUACAUCGGAACGUACCGUGUAGUGGGGGAUAACGUAGCGAAAGUUACGCUAAUACCGCAUACAAUCUACGGAUGAAAGCAGGGGACCUUCGGGCCUUGUGCUAUACGAGCGGCCGAUGUCUGAUUAGCUAGUUGGUGAGGUAAAGGCUCACCAAGGCGACGAUCAGUAGCGGGUCUGAGAGGAUGAUCCGCCACACUGGGACUGAGACACGGCCCAGACUCCUACGGGAGGCAGCAGUGGGGAAUUUUGGACAAUGGGCGAAAGCCUGAUCCAGCCAUGCCGCGUGUCUGAAGAAGGCCUUCGGGUUGUAAGGACUUUGUCAGGGAGCAAACUUACUGGUUAAUACCCGGUGAGGCUGAGAGUACCUGAAGAAUAAGCACCGGCUAACUACGUGCCAGCAGCCGCGGUAAUCUGAGUCGGAG